This 681-nucleotide ribosomal RNA is filed under the name Escherichia coli. RNAcentral describes it as "partial 23S ribosomal RNA". It matches the Rfam family "Bacterial large subunit ribosomal RNA", at positions 612 to 1293 of the family's 2925-position model. Lineage: Bacteria; Pseudomonadati; Pseudomonadota; Gammaproteobacteria; Enterobacterales; Enterobacteriaceae. The record is from RNAcentral.
AUAAUGGGUCAGCGACUUAUAUUCUGUAGCAAGGUUAACCGAAUAGGGGAGCCGAAGGGAAACCGAGUCUUAACUGGGCGUUAAGUUGCAGGGUAUAGACCCGAAACCCGGUGAUCUAGCCAUGGGCAGGUUGAAGGUUGGGUAACACUAACUGGAGGACCGAACCGACUAAUGUUGAAAAAUUAGCGGAUGACUUGUGGCUGGGGGUGAAAGGCCAAUCAAACCGGGAGAUAGCUGGUUCUCCCCGAAAGCUAUUUAGGUAGCGCCUCGUGAAUUCAUCUCCGGGGGUAGAGCACUGUUUCGGCAAGGGGGUCAUCCCGACUUACCAACCCGAUGCAAACUGCGAAUACCGGAGAAUGUUAUCACGGGAGACACACGGCGGGUGCUAACGUCCGUCGUGAAGAGGGAAACAACCCAGACCGCCAGCUAAGGUCCCAAAGUCAUGGUUAAGUGGGAAACGAUGUGGGAAGGCCCAGACAGCCAGGAUGUUGGCUUAGAAGCAGCCAUCAUUUAAAGAAAGCGUAAUAGCUCACUGGUCGAGUCGGCCUGCGCGGAAGAUGUAACGGGGCUAAACCAUGCACCGAAGCUGCGGCAGCGACACUGUGUGUUGUUGGGUAGGGGAGCGUUCUGUAAGCCUGCGAAGGUGUGCUGUGAGGCAUGCUGGAGGUAUCAGAAGUGCGA